This 449-nucleotide ribosomal RNA is filed under the name uncultured prokaryote. RNAcentral describes it as "bacterial SSU rRNA". It matches the Rfam family "Bacterial small subunit ribosomal RNA", at positions 355 to 796 of the family's 1533-position model. The record is from RNAcentral.
UGGGGAAUCUUGGGCAAUGGGCGCAAGCCUGACCCAGCCAUGCCGCGUGUGUGAAGAAGGCCUUCGGGUUGUAAAGCACUUUCAGUGGUGAAGAAAAGCCUUGGGCUAAUACCUCAGGGUCUUGACGUUAUCCACAGAAGAAGCACCGGCUAACUCCGUGCCAGCAGCCGCGGUAAUACGGAGGGUGCGAACGUUAAUCGGAAUUACUGGGCGUAAAGCGCGCGUAGGCGGUUCGAUAAGUGGGAUGUGAAAGCCCUGGGCUCAACCUGGGAACUGCAUUGCAAACUGUCGGACUAGAGUAUGGUAGAGGGAGGUAGAAUUUCCUGUGUAGCGGUGAAAUGCGUAGAUAUAGGAAGGAAUACCAGUGGCGAAGGCGGCCUCCUGGACCAAUACUGACGCUGAGGCGCGAAAGCGUGGGGAGCAAACAGGAUUAGAUACCCCCGUAGUCC